GCUUGUCUCAAAGAUUAAGCCAUGCAUGUCUAAGUAUAAAUCUUUUACUUUGAAACUGCGAACGGCUCAUUAUAUCAGUUAUAGUUUAUUUGAUAGUCCCUUACUACUUGGAUAACCGUAGUAAUUCUAGAGCUAAUACAUGCGUCAAUACCCUUCUGGGGUAGUAUUUAUUAGAUAACAGACCAAUAUUCCUCGUGUCUAUUGUGGUGAAUCAUAGUAACUGAUCGGAUCGCAUGGGCUACGCCCGCGACAAACCAUUCAAGUUUCUGCCCCAUCAGCUUUCGAUGGUAGUGUAUUGGACUACCAUGGCUUUUACGGGUAACGGAGGAUUAGGGUUCGAUUCCGGAGAGGGAGCCUGAGAAACGGCUACCACAUCUAAGGAAGGCAGCAGG
This 392-nucleotide ribosomal RNA is filed under the name uncultured Strobilidiidae. Its description in RNAcentral is "partial small subunit ribosomal RNA". It matches the Rfam family "Eukaryotic small subunit ribosomal RNA", at positions 30 to 432 of the family's 1831-position model. The record is from RNAcentral. Lineage: Eukaryota; Ciliophora; Spirotrichea; Choreotrichida; Strobilidiidae.